This is a regulatory RNA element of Gallaecimonas xiamenensis 3-C-1, 155 nucleotides long. It matches the Rfam family "Gammaprotebacteria rimP leader". The record is from Rfam. Lineage: Bacteria; Pseudomonadati; Pseudomonadota; Gammaproteobacteria; Enterobacterales; Gallaecimonadaceae.
GCGGGGUCAAAUCAACGUAAGGUUGAGCAAAGCCCCGCAUGUUCGGGGCUUUUUGCUAUCUGUCGUCUACGAAGGCGCACCGCGCUUUUGUAAGGGUAUCGACUAUGCUUUUGCGCGUAGUCGGGCUGUGAUACUGGGCGCUUCGCCCUUUUUUU